Molecule: ribosomal RNA, 673 nt
Filed under: Lactococcus lactis
Lineage: Bacteria; Bacillati; Bacillota; Bacilli; Lactobacillales; Streptococcaceae
Description: bacterial SSU rRNA
Rfam family: Bacterial small subunit ribosomal RNA
Source: RNAcentral
UGCAAGUUGAGCGCUGAAGAUUGGUACUUGUACCGAUUGGAUGAGCAGCGAACGGGUGAGUAACGCGUGGGGAAUCUGCCUUUGAGCGGGGGACAACAUUUGGAAACGAAUGCUAAUACCGCAUAAUAGCUUUAAACAUAAGUUUUAAGUUUGAAAGAUGCAAUUGCAUCACUCAAAGAUGAUCCCGCGUUGUAUUAGCUAGUUGGUGAGGUAAAGGCUCACCAAGGCGAUGAUACAUAGCCGACCUGAGAGGGUGAUCGGCCACAUUGGGACUGAGACACGGCCCAAACUCCUACGGGAGGCAGCAGUAGGGAAUCUUCGGCAAUGGACGAAAGUCUGACCGAGCAACGCCGCGUGAGUGAAGAAGGUUUUCGGAUCGUAAAACUCUGUUGUUAGAGAAGAACGACGAGGAGAGUGGAAAGCUCCUCGUGUGACGGUAUCUAACCAGAAAGGGACGGCUAACUACGUGCCAGCAGCCGCGGUAAUACGUAGGUCCCGAGCGUUGUCCGGAUUUAUUGGGCGUAAAGCGAGCGCAGGUGGUUUAUUAAGUCUGGUGUAAAAGGCAGUGGCUCAACCAUUGUAUGCAUUGGAAACUGGUAGACUUGAGUGCAGGAGAGGAGAGUGGAAUUCCAUGUGUAGCGGUGAAAUGCGUAGAUAUAUGGAGGAACACCGG